UUCCGGUUGAUCCUGGCGGAGGUCACUGCUAUCGGGGUUCGAUUAAGCCAUGCGAGUUGAGAGGGUUUAGACCCUCAGCGGACUGCUCAGUAACACGUGAAUAACCUGCCCUAUGGUGGAGAAUAACCCCGGGAAACUGGGGAUAAUAUUCCAUAGAUUAGAGAUACUGGAAUGUUCUUUAAUCGAAAGUUGAGGCGCCAUAGGAUGGAUCUGCGGUCGAUUAGGUUGUUGUUGGGGUAACGGCCCAACAAGCCUGUAAUCGAUACGGGUUGUGGGAGCAAGAGCCCGGAGAUGGAAUCUGAGACACGAUUCCAGGCCCUACGGGGCGCAGCAGGCGCGAAAACUUUACAAUGCAGGAAACUGUGAUAAGGGAACCCCGAGUGCCCGUAUACGCGGGCUGUCCAGGUGUCUAAAAAGCAUCUGAAGAAAGGGCCGGGCAAGACCGGUGCCAGCCGCCGCGGUAAUACCGGCGGCUCGAGUGGUGGCCACUAUUAUUGGGCUUAAAGCGUCCGUAGCUGGACUCUUAAGUCUCUUGGGAAAUCCGCCGGCUUAACCGACGGGCGUCUAAGAGAUACUGGGAGACUAGGGACCGGGAGAGGUGAGAGGUACUCCAGGGGUAGGAGUGAAAUCCUGUAAUCCCUGGGGGACCACCGAUGGCGAAGGCAUCUCACCAGAACGGCUCCGACAGUGAGGGACGAAAGCUGGGGGAGCGAACCGGAUUAGAUACCCGGGUAGUCCCAGCCGUAAACUAUGCGCGUUAGGUGUACUGGUGACCACGAGUCACUGGGGUGCCGAAGGGAAACCGUGAAACGUGCCGCCUGGGAAGUACGGUCGCAAGGCUGAAACUUAAAGGAAUUGGCGGGGGAGCACCACAACGGGUGGAGCCUGCGGUUUAAUUGGACUCAACGCCGGAAAUCUCACCGGAUAAGACAGCGGAAUGAUAACCGGGCUGAAGACUCUGUUUGACCAGCUGAGAGGAGGUGCAUGGCCGUCGUCAGUUCGUACUGUGAAGCAUCCUGUUAAGUCAGGCAACGAGCGAGACCC
Molecule: ribosomal RNA, 1044 nt
Filed under: uncultured archaeon 2C130
Lineage: Archaea
Description: bacterial SSU rRNA
Rfam family: Archaeal small subunit ribosomal RNA
Source: RNAcentral